GACGAACGCUGGCGGCGUGCUUAACACAUGCAAGUCGAGCGGUAAGGCCCUUUCGGGGUACGACGAGCGGCGAACGGGUGAGUAACACGUGGGUGACCUGCCCUCCAGCUCUGGGAGUAAGCCUGGGAAACCGGGGUACUAAUACCGGAUAUGACUCCAUGACGCAUGUUGUGGGGUGGAAAGCCUUGUGCGGCUGAGGAUGGGCCCGCGGCCUAUCAGCUUGUUGGUGGGGUGAUGGCCUACCAAGGCGACGACGGGUAGCCGGCCAGAGAGGGCGACCGGCCACACUGGGACUGAGACACGGCCCAGACUCCUACGGGAGGCAGCAGUGGGGAAUCUUGCGCAAUGGGCGAAAGCCUGACGCAGCGACGCCGCGUGAGGGAUGACGGCCU
RNAcentral lists this ribosomal RNA (392 nucleotides) under uncultured bacterium. RNAcentral describes it as "bacterial SSU rRNA". It matches the Rfam family "Bacterial small subunit ribosomal RNA", at positions 28 to 417 of the family's 1533-position model. The record is from RNAcentral.